AGAGUUUGAUCCUGGCUCAGGAUGAACGCUGGCGGCGUGCUUAACACAUGCAAGUCGAACGAAGAUAUUUAAAAUGAGAGCUUCGGCAGGAUUUUUAUCUAUCUUAGUGGCGGACGGGUGAGUAACGUGUGGGCAACCUGCCCUGUACUGGGGAAUAAUCAUUGGAAACGAUGACUAAUACCGCAUGUGGUCCUCGGAAGGCAUCUUCUGAGGAAGAAAGGAUUUAUUCGGUACAGGAUGGGCCCGCAUCUGAUUAGCUAGUUGGUGAGAUAACAGCCCACCAAGGCGACGAUCAGUAGCCGACCUGAGAGGGUGAUCGGCCACAUUGGGACUGAGACACGGCCCAAACUCCUACGGGAGGCAGCAGUGGGGAAUAUUGCACAAUGGGCGAAAGCCUGAUGCAGCAACGCCGCGUGAAGGAUGAAGGGUUUCGGCUCGUAAACUUCUAUCAAUAGGGAAGAAAGAAAUGACGGUACCUAAAUAAGAAGCCCCGGCUAACUACGUGCCAGCAGCCGCGGUAAUACGUAGGGGGCAAGCGUUAUCCGGAAUUACUGGGUGUAAAGGGAGCGUAGGCGGCAUGGUAAGCCAGAUGUGAAAGCCUUGGGCUUAACCCGAGGAUUGCAUUUGGAACUAUCAAGCUAGAGUACAGGAGAGGAAAGCGGAAUUCCUAGUGUAGCGGUGAAAUGCGUAGAUAUUAGGAAGAACACCAGUGGCGAAGGCGGCUUUCUGGACUGAAACUGACGCUGAGGCUCGAAAGCGUGGGGAGCAAACAGGAUUAGAUACCCUGGUAGUCCACGCCGUAAACGAUGAGUGCUAGGUGUCGGGGAGGAAUCCUCGGUGCCGCAGCUAACGCAAUAAGCACUCCACCUGGGGAGUACGACCGCAAGGUUGAAACUCAAAGGAAU
RNAcentral lists this ribosomal RNA (905 nucleotides) under human gut metagenome. RNAcentral describes it as "bacterial SSU rRNA". It matches the Rfam family "Bacterial small subunit ribosomal RNA", at positions 8 to 910 of the family's 1533-position model. The record is from RNAcentral.